This 1033-nucleotide long non-coding RNA is filed under the name Papio anubis (olive baboon). RNAcentral describes it as "lncRNA (ENSPANG00000040967.1)". Lineage: Eukaryota; Metazoa; Chordata; Mammalia; Primates; Cercopithecidae. The record is from RNAcentral.
AGUAAAGGCUCACCAAGCAAGAUUUCUCUCAUCCCCUGCCACUCCCUGUUUAAUGCCUUUGUAACAACUACAAUUUGGUGAAUCCCGAUACUACAAUAGCCAAUUUAGGAUCAUGAUCAGAAGGUUCAGGGUACUGUUUCCUAAACUGAGAUAAAUCUCAUCAAAUAAAUGAUUCCUGCUUGAAGUGUCUCCUCUAGUGAACAGACCAUCAGUAACCACCCAAUUAUCACAACUUCUUUUCUAAAGUAAGUAAACAAAACUUCAUUUUGCAGCAUCAUCAGGUUCAACAGAGUCAGAAAAAUAAACAUAAACAGCAGAUAAGUGAAGAAUAAAGUGAAGUCCCAUAUGGGUUUUUGUUCAGACGGUCAUGCAAUGUAAUUUAAUAGAAUGAGCACUAGACAGAAAGCCAGAUUCUGGUACUUGCUUUGUUUUUCAUUGGAUUAUCAGGUUAGAUGAACUACAAAAUGAGGAAGCCAACUGGAAAUCUGGACCUAAAACAGGAUUCAUCCCCUGGGCUUGAAGUCACGCUGGGUACAAAGAUGCCCAUGAAUAAUGGCCCAGGAAAAGCCCAGGCAACUUCCCAUGAAAAAAAUUAUGACAAAGUAUAUUUCCUGGCGCUGUGUCAAGCUCUCAGGAGUGAAUAUAUGGAUAGGAGCCUCGACUCUGCAGGUGUUAGCGCUGCAAGGGCCGAACCCAACCGCCAGAAUGUCUGCCGAGCCUAGCAUGGGAUGCUGCCCAGCAAAACAGCGCCCAGGGAGAGGGCGACUGAGGAAGAGAGCCUGUAAGCGCGCUUCAGAAGGGACUGGGACCAGAGCCCUGGAAAACUAGAGCGAGUGGAUUCCCUGGCAGGGGGAACCCGCGGGAGCCUGGAAAAAAAACGAGAGGGAGAGAAAGAAACUCACCCCCGCGCUGUGAAGCCCGGCGCAGGCAAGCGGGUGAGCGCGCAGGCUGGCUAGGCUGCUCCAGCUGGAAGUCAUUCUGCGGGCUGGCGUCUGCGUUGCCAGGGCGACCGCCCGGCCGGCGCCAGCGAAGG